CCUACGGGAGGCAGCAGUAAGGAAUAUUGCGCAAUGGACGAAAGUCUGACGCAGCGAUGCCGCGUGAGUGACGACGCCUUUCGGGGUGUAAAACUCUGUCAAGAGGGAAGAUUAUGACGGUACCUCUAAAGGAAGCAACGGCUAAUUACGUGCCAGCAGCCGCGGUAAU
Molecule: ribosomal RNA, 169 nt
Filed under: uncultured marine bacterium
Lineage: Bacteria
Description: partial 16S ribosomal RNA
Rfam family: Bacterial small subunit ribosomal RNA
Source: RNAcentral